Molecule: long non-coding RNA, 1255 nt
Organism: Balaenoptera musculus (blue whale)
Lineage: Eukaryota; Metazoa; Chordata; Mammalia; Artiodactyla; Balaenopteridae
Exons: 3
Source: RefSeq, a predicted model, not a curated record
CCAAAGGCGAGUGCACGCACGCUGGCGCCGGGUGCGGGAGGCUGCGUGUGCCCCACGCGGGUGGAUGUGAGUGCGUGUUCACGGAGUGCAGCGCAGGCGGCGGGCGGCAGGACUUCGCUCUGGACGGUGCUGUGGGUUCCCUGGGUACUUAGGAGGAGCAGGAGGCCCUGUGGGGUGGAAGACUGGAAGAACACUCGUCCCCCAACCGCGUGAGUGCAUUUCACCCAGAUGCCAGCUUCUUCUCAAAGUCAAACUUUGUUGGAGGAGAACUGAUCUAGGCAAGAGGAUCUAAGGCAAAGUGCCAAAGGGUGAGAUCCCCUCGGCCAGGCCCCGGCACCCCCUGCACAUGAAGGCUGCCCUCACCCACCCACUGGACUGAACAGCGUAGUGGGGGAAGCACUGUUUUUACUGCCCAAAGGAACGGAAGCUCCUCUGCAAGCAUCUCGCCCCGGGUCUGGUGGGAGGGAUAAUUCUAUCUCAUUGCCGCAAACAAGUUAAUGGAGAUUUUAAUGAAAACACUGCACUGAUGAAAAUGCUGAGGCUAGAACCUACUCUCUGCCUGUGAGACAAAACAAUCGGGGUCAGAAUUUCUCCUUGAUAAUUCAUUCUGCAGUUCCUUUUAGGCCUACAUAAAGCGAGCUGGGGAUCUGAGAGCAGAAAGCAGUUCAUCGUUGAUUGCAUCCCAGACUGUAAGAGGUCAGAGACCCUCCUGGCCAAGGAAGUAAACUGCCUAAAAUGCCUAUGGGUCCUGUUACCUCAUCUGUCCUCCACCUCUAGACAGUCACCUUUUGUUUCAGGUGGUAAAGGCCAUAUCUCCUCACCUUCUCCUGUUUUUGCUCAUUCUAAGGUCUCUGGAUUCUAACAACUAAGUCUUCCCAGAUGAAGAGGCAGUCGGGGCAGGUAGAAAAGGUCUAGGACUGAAUGUCAUAUUUGGGUCCCAGUUCCAGAUGUACUGCUAAACAUGUGACCUUCAUUAAGUCAUUUAACAUCUCUGAAUCUGAUUACUGGCCUGAAAUAGGGAAGCCUUCCCUGGCUACCUUGCAGAAUUGUCUUAAGGAUGUGAGAGCACUUUGAAAAUUUUUAUGUGGUAGAGAAGUGUGUGUGUGUGAUUAUAUGUUUAUAAAAAGAUAUUAUGUCAUUAUUACAGAUAUUAUGUCUACCCUCUAUUCCCCUGCAGCAACUUGUCUUGCUGUUCUCCUUUAGAAAAGGAGGACAGAUUUGUGUUGCCAGGGGUUAGGGAAGGGGAAGGGGGUUG